This 198-nucleotide ribosomal RNA is filed under the name uncultured bacterium. Its description in RNAcentral is "partial 16S ribosomal RNA". It matches the Rfam family "Bacterial small subunit ribosomal RNA", at positions 328 to 538 of the family's 1533-position model. The record is from RNAcentral.
ACGCUCGACACCUACGGAGGCAGCAGUGGGGAAUAUUGCACAAUGGGGGAAACCCUGAUGCAGCGACGCCGCGUGAGCGAAGAAGUAUUUCGGUAUGUAAAGCUCUAUCAGCAGGGAAGAAACUGACGGUACCUGACUAAGAAGCACCGGCUAAAUACGUGCCAGAGCCGCGGUAAUCUGAGCGGGCGUGGCGAAGGC